AGCAAGAAUUUUCUCUUCCUUUAGUAGUCCUUCAUGAGCAAAUAUUCUUUCAAUGGUAUAUACUCCUAGAAAUCUUAACCACUCAAGAUAUACCUCUUUCUUGUUCAACAAGGAAUUUACUUCCGAUGUGGGUAAAUGUGAACAUGUGCCAACAGAUGGUAAGUUUGUCAGAACAUUCCACAAUGUAUCAUUGAUGGGUG
This 200-nucleotide long non-coding RNA is filed under the name Vigna radiata. RNAcentral's name for it is "long non-coding RNA (VRAD_LNC016281)". Lineage: Eukaryota; Viridiplantae; Streptophyta; Magnoliopsida; Fabales; Fabaceae. The record is from RNAcentral.